Molecule: ribosomal RNA, 515 nt
Filed under: uncultured bacterium
Lineage: Bacteria
Description: partial 16S ribosomal RNA
Rfam family: Bacterial small subunit ribosomal RNA
Source: RNAcentral
GAUGAACGCUGGCGGCGUGCCUAAUACAUGCAAGUCGAGCGAAUGGAUUAAGAGCUUGCUCUUAUGAAGUUAGCGGCGGACGGGUGAGUAACACGUGGGUAACCUGCCCAUAAGACUGGGAUAACUCCGGGAAACCGGGGCUAAUACCGGAUAACAUUUUGAACCGCAUGGUUCGAAAUUGAAAGGCGUCUUCGGCUGUCACUUAGGGAUGGACCCGCGUCGCAUUAGCUAGCUGGUGAGGUAACGGCUCACCAAGGCAACGAUGCGUAGCCGACCUGAGAGGGUGAUCGGCCACACUGGGACUGAGACACGGCCCAGACUCCUACGGGAGGCAGCAGUAGGGAAUCUUCCGCAAUGGACGAAAGUCUGACGGAGCAACGCCGCGUGAGUGAUGAAGGCUUUCGGGUCGUAAAACUCUGUUGUUAGGGAAGAACAAGUGCUAGUUGAAUAAGCUGGCACCUUGACGGUACCUAACUAGAAAGCCACGGCUAACUACGUGCCAGCAGCCGCGGUAA